RNAcentral lists this ribosomal RNA (774 nucleotides) under uncultured phototrophic eukaryote. Its description in RNAcentral is "SSU rRNA". It matches the Rfam family "Bacterial small subunit ribosomal RNA", at positions 75 to 878 of the family's 1533-position model. The record is from RNAcentral.
GGAAGCUUUCCAAGCUUUAGUAGCGGACGGGUGAGUAACGCGUGAGAAUUUACCUCUAGGAGGGGAACAACAGUUAGAAAUGACUGCUAAUGCCCCAUAUGCUUUAAUAGUGAAAUGGAUUUAUUCGCCUGGAGAGAAGCUCGCGUCUGAUUAGCUAGUUGGUGAGGUAACGGCUCACCAAGGCGACGAUCAGUAGCUGGUUUGAGAGGAUGAUCAGCCACACUGGAACUGAGACACGGUCCAGACUCCUACGGGAGGCAGCAGUGGGGAAUUUUCUGCAAUGGGCGAAAGCCUGACAGAGCAAUACCGCGUGAGGGAUGAAGGCUCGUGGGUCGUAAACCUCUUUUAUCAGGGAGGAAGUUCUGACGUGUACCUGAUGAAUAAGCAUCGGCUAACUCCGUGCCAGCAGCCGCGGUAAGACGGAGGAUGCAAGUGUUAUCCGGAAUCACUGGGCGUAAAGCGUCUGUAGGUGGUUUAGUAAGUCUAUUGUUAAAUCUUGAGGCUCAACUUCAAAUCAGCAAUGGAAACUGCUAGACUCGAGUAUGGUAGAGGUAAGGGGAAUUUCCAGUGGAGCGGUGAAAUGCGUAGAUAUUGGAAAGAACACCGAUGGCGAAGGCACCUUACUGGGCCAUUACUGACACUCAGAGACGAAAGCUAGGGUAGCAAAUGGGAUUAGAUACCCCAGUAGUCCUAGCAGUAAACGAUGGAUACUAGAUGUUGCCCGUAUCAACCCGUGCAGUGUCAAAGCUAACGCGUWNAGUAUCCCGCCUGGGA